GACGAACGCUGGCGGCGUGCUUAACACAUGCAAGUCGAACGGAAAGGCCCUGCUUUUGUGGGGUGCUCGAGUGGCGAACGGGUGAGUAACACGUGAGUAACCUGCCCUUGACUUUGGGAUAACUUCAGGAAACUGGGGCUAAUACCGGAUAGGAGCUCCUGCUGCAUGGUGGGGGUUGGAAAGUUUCGGCGGUUGGGGAUGGACUCGCGGCUUAUCAGCUUGUUGGUGGGGUAGUGGCUUACCAAGGCUUUGACGGGUAGCCGGCCUGAGAGGGUGACCGGCCAAAUUGGGACUGAGAUACGGCCCAGACUCAUACGGGAGGCAGCAGUGGGGAAUAGUGCACAAUGGGCGGAAGCAUGAUGCAGCAAAGCCGCGUGCGGGAUGAGGGCCUUCGGGUUGUAAACCGCUUUCGCCUGUGACGAAGCGUGAGUGACGGUAAUGGGUAAAGAAGCACCGGCUAACUACGUG
Molecule: ribosomal RNA, 468 nt
Filed under: uncultured bacterium
Lineage: Bacteria
Description: partial 16S ribosomal RNA
Rfam family: Bacterial small subunit ribosomal RNA
Source: RNAcentral